RNAcentral lists this long non-coding RNA (296 nucleotides) under Cyclopterus lumpus (lumpfish). RNAcentral's name for it is "lncRNA (ENSCLMG00005006727.1)". Lineage: Eukaryota; Metazoa; Chordata; Actinopteri; Perciformes; Cyclopteridae. The record is from RNAcentral.
AUCGCCAUGGAGACGCAGGAGAUCAAAGAGCUGGAGCAACAGCUGACCGACGUCUGGACACACGGUGCAGGAGCCGGAUGGAACCCAGAGACACAGACGGAGACAGAAACUGGACCGGACCAGGACCAGGACCAGGACCAGGACCAGGACCAGAGAUCCUGGACUUAGAGCUCCCAGUCUGGGCUCUCUGGGGACUCAGGACUCUGGUUUGGGACUGCAGUACCUCAGUUCUCCUGAGAGGCGGCAACAGCAGGACAGACGUCCCGCAGGAGGGGGGCACUGGGUCUACGCCCCCC